Non-coding RNA from Pelobates cultripes (western spadefoot toad), 234 nucleotides. The record is from the annotation of a GenBank genome assembly. NCBI's taxonomy places the organism in Eukaryota, Metazoa, Chordata, Amphibia, Anura, Pelobatidae.
AGAUUAAGUUUAUUUAGUCUAUUAUAUUAAAUAUAAAAUGUAUUGCAGCCAUCAAGGGUAUACACAACAACAUUCCAAUAGUGUCUAAGCUGAUUUCUCUACUUAAAGACAUUUGUCCCUACCUUUGCAUUUUACAAAUAAUUCAGUAACAACCCCUGGAUGUUGGGUUAAGGUAACAUCCCCAGGAUGUACUUGAAAACCAGAGUAAUCUUAAUAUACAUUUCCUGGUUAAAU